AUGCUCUCCUCUGCCCCGGAUCUGGACGGGGGGCCUGGCCCAAGGCGCGCGGCGGGCUGGUCACGGCUCCUUCGGUCUCUCGUGCGGCAUGAGGUGUCGGCCGAUGCUGGUUCUGCUGCCCGAUGGCUGAUGUCUCGGGGCUUCAUGCGCAGUUCCGCCCAGAUCUCGCUGUCUCUGGCGGCUCUGCUCGUUUGUGAAGGUCAGGACGAGGUGGCGGUGGCUGUUCAGGAACGAAGUGCUUGGCCGAGGUGGGUUGCAGUGGGUGGUGGUGGUGCUGGAGAUGUACUGGCGGUGGGCUGUGGUGAGGAUUGCCGCUCGGUUGCUGUUGGCUCUGGUGCUCUCUUCCGGUCGUGUCGAGGCAUCCUGGCCCAGGACCACCCAUAUCUUGCGUCCUUGCUGGCUCGGGUCGACCAUGACGAGCAGUGA
Molecule: ribosomal RNA, 426 nt
Filed under: Triticum aestivum (bread wheat)
Lineage: Eukaryota; Viridiplantae; Streptophyta; Magnoliopsida; Poales; Poaceae
Description: partial small subunit ribosomal RNA
Source: RNAcentral